Molecule: long non-coding RNA, 1101 nt
Organism: Ictalurus punctatus (channel catfish)
Lineage: Eukaryota; Metazoa; Chordata; Actinopteri; Siluriformes; Ictaluridae
Exons: 3
Source: RefSeq, a predicted model, not a curated record
CGCAUGCAUACGAACCUGCUUAUAAAAGUCGAGCAUCCCUCUAGGCUUUAUAAUACUCUGUACUUAGAACAACGUGUGCGAUCUUACAACAUGGCUGAUGUUUGUCCUAACGCGCCGAAAAAAGCUCACCCUUUUUUGGGAAGAAUAGAAAAAAUGUUAGAACAUGAAAAGAUUCAAUAUUGGGUAAUGUCAAACGGAUGUACAGCCGGGUUUUUUUUUCGAUGCAGAAAAAGGAACCGUUUUGCUUUUCAAGUUCUCGGUCCCGGAACACACGAUCUUUUCCUUUCACGUAGAAUAUGAAGCACUCCGAGUCAGGCCUAGGUCAAAAGGUCAACAACGUAAAACCCCCGUUCUGAUGCAUUCCCGAGCACAAACACACCCCACACACACACACACACACUCGAAUGCAUACGAACCUGUUUAUAAAGUCGAGCACUUCGAAAGUUUUAACAUCGGAAAAGGUUCGACCGAAUUUCCAGAGUCAGUUCUUCACUACUUCGAAAGUUUGAACAUCGGCAAAGUUCAACAGAAUUUCCAGACCCCAUGGAUUUCUCGGCAGGUAAAAAUUUGUAUUUUAAUCAAUUAAUAGUUAAAUAUAAAUUGAGAUACAAUGUUUAUGUAAUUAUCCAGUAGGCAAUGAUAUUGAUAUAAACUUAGAACUAAUCAUUCUGAGUACAAAAAUCAUCAUACUUAUCUGGUCAUUAUGUAAUCUGGUACGAUACUUUAUCUAAAUUGUAAAUAUUCAUUACAUUUAUAUUACAGUGCAAGACCGAGUUAAGCUCAUCUGUUUCUAGUGUAUAGACAGCUUGGUGAUUAUUUCUGAUGAUGAGAUUCCCGAAACAACCACUCAGGACCUUUUGAAUCUGAGUUCCACACAAUUUGAGGGAAACGUGUCUAACAGUGAUUACGACGGAGAUAUUUCAGGUGAGUUGUAGUAUAUUUACCUUCUAUUUACACAGCACAAAUAAAUAAAUAAAUAAAUAAAAUAAAUAAAAGCUUUUUCACAUGUUCUGUGACUUAUAGAUACGAGUGCUGCAAUAGAAGACCCAGAGGAAAUCAUCUCGGAAACCGACAUUCAACAAGACAUCGAACUACAACAGA